CCUACGGGCGGCAGCAGUGGGGAAUAUUGGACAAUGGGGGCGACCCUGAUCCAGCCAUGCCGCGUGUGUGAAGAAGGCCCUCGGGUUGUAAAGCACUUUCAGUGAGGAAGAACGCCUGGUGGUUAAUACCCAUCAGGAAAGACAUCACUCACAGAAGAAGCACCGGCUAACUCCGUGCCAGCAGCCGCGGUAAUACGGAGGGUGCGAGCGUUAAUCGGAAUUACUGGGCGUAAAGCGCGCGUAGGUGGCUUGACAAGCCGGUUGUGAAAGCCCCGGGCUCAACCUGGGAACGGCAUCCGGAACUGUCAAGCUAGAGUGCAGGAGAGGAAGGUAGAAUUCCCGGUGUAGCGGUGAAAUGCGUAGAGAUCGGGAGGAAUACCAGUGGCGAAGGCGGCCUUCUGGACUGACACUGACACUGAGGUGCGAAAGCGUGGGUAGCAAACAGGAUUAGAUACCCCAGUAGUC
RNAcentral lists this ribosomal RNA (465 nucleotides) under Vreelandella stevensii. Its description in RNAcentral is "partial 16S ribosomal RNA". It matches the Rfam family "Bacterial small subunit ribosomal RNA", at positions 338 to 795 of the family's 1533-position model. The record is from RNAcentral. Lineage: Bacteria; Pseudomonadati; Pseudomonadota; Gammaproteobacteria; Oceanospirillales; Halomonadaceae.